GGCAGCGUAGCUCAGUGGUAGAGCGGAGCCCUCAUAAAGCUUAGGUCACAGGUUCGAUCCCUGUCGCUGCUACAA
This 75-nucleotide transfer RNA is filed under the name Candidatus Curtissbacteria bacterium RIFCSPHIGHO2_01_FULL_41_11. RNAcentral describes it as "tRNA-Met". It matches the Rfam family "tRNA". Rfam says of the family: Transfer RNA (tRNA) molecules are approximately 80 nucleotides in length. Their secondary structure includes four short double-helical elements and three loops (D, anti-codon, and T loops). Further hydrogen bonds mediate the characteristic L-shaped molecular structure. tRNAs have two regions of fundamental functional importance: the anti-codon, which is responsible for specific mRNA codon recognition, and the 3' end, to which the tRNAs corresponding amino acid is attached (by aminoacyl-tRNA synthetases). tRNAs cope with the degeneracy of the genetic code in two manners: having more than one tRNA (with a specific anti-codon) for a particular amino acid; and 'wobble' base-pairing, i.e. permitting non-standard base-pairing at the 3rd anti-codon position. The record is from RNAcentral. Lineage: Bacteria; Candidatus Curtissiibacteriota.